UACGUAGGGCGCAAGCAUUGUCCGGAAUUAUUGGGCGUAAAGAGCUCGUAGGCGGCCUGUCGCGUCGGAUGUGAAAGCCCGGGGCUUAACCCCGGGUCUGCAUUCGAUACGGGCAGGCUAGAGUGUGGUAGGGGAGAUCGGAAUUCCUGGUGUAGCGGUGAAAUGCGCAGAUAUCGGGAAGAACACCCGUGGCGAAGGCGGUUCUCUGGGACGGUACUGACGCUGAGACGCGAAAGCGUGGGGAGCGAACAGG
RNAcentral lists this ribosomal RNA (253 nucleotides) under uncultured bacterium. RNAcentral's name for it is "partial 16S ribosomal RNA". It matches the Rfam family "Bacterial small subunit ribosomal RNA", at positions 524 to 776 of the family's 1533-position model. The record is from RNAcentral.